CCUACGGGAGGCAGCAGUGGGGAAUAUUGCACAAUGGGGGAAACCCUGAUGCAGCGACGCCGCGUGAGUGAAGAAGUAAUUCGUUAUGUAAAGCUCUAUCAGCAGGGAAGAAAAUGACGGUACCUGAGUAAGAAGCCCCGGCUAACUACGUGCCAGCAGCCGCGGUAAUACGUAGGGGGCAAGCGUUAUCCGGAUUUACUGGGUGUAACGGGAGCGUAGACGGCAGUGCAAGUCUGGAGUGAAAGGCGGGGGCUCAACCCCCGGACUGCUCUGGAAACUGUACGGCUGGAGUGCAGGAGAGGUAAGUGGAAUUCCUAGUGUAGCGGUGAAAUGCGUAGAUAUUAGGAGGAACACCAGUGGCGAAGGCGGCUUACUGGACUGUAACUGACGUUGAGGCUCGAAAGCGUGCGGAGCAAACAGGAUUAGAUACCCCAGUAGUC
RNAcentral lists this ribosomal RNA (440 nucleotides) under uncultured bacterium. RNAcentral describes it as "partial 16S ribosomal RNA". It matches the Rfam family "Bacterial small subunit ribosomal RNA", at positions 338 to 795 of the family's 1533-position model. The record is from RNAcentral.